AUUGAACGCUGGCGGCAGGCCUAACACAUGCAAGUCGAGCGGUAGCACAGAGAGCUUGCUCUCGGGUGACGAGCGGCGGACGGGUGAGUAAUGUCUGGGAAACUGCCUGAUGGAGGGGGAUAACUACUGGAAACGGUAGCUAAUACCGCAUAAUGUCGCAAGACCAAAGUGGGGGACCUUCGGGCCUCAUGCCAUCAGAUGUGCCCAGAUGGGAUUAGCUAGUAGGUGGGGUAACGGCUCACCUAGGCGACGAUCCCUAGCUGGUCUGAGAGGAUGACCAGCCACACUGGAACUGAGACACGGUCCAGACUCCUACGGGAGGCAGCAGUGGGGAAUAUUGCACAAUGGGCGCAAGCCUGAUGCAGCCAUGCCGCGUGUGUGAAGAAGGCCUUCGGGUUGUAAAGCACUUUCAGCGGGGAGGAAGGCGAUAAGGUUAAUAACCUUGUCGAUUGACGUUACCCGCAGAAGAAGCACCGGCUAACUCCGUGCCAGCAGCCGCGGUAAUACGGAGGGUGCAAGCGUUAAUCGGAAUUACUGGGCGUAAAGCGCACGCAGGCGGUCUGUCAAGUCGGAUGUGAAAUCCCCGGGCUCAACCUGGGAACUGCAUUCGAAACUGGCAGGCUAGAGUCUUGUAGAGGGGGGUAGAAUUCCAGGUGUAGCGGUGAAAUGCGUAGAGAUCUGGAGGAAUACCGGUGGCGAAGGCGGCCCCCUGGACAAAGACUGACGCUCAGGUGCGAAAGCGUGGGGAGCAAACAGGAUUAGAUACCCUGGUAGUCCACGCCGUAAACGAUGUCGAUUUGGAGGUUGUGCCCUUGAGGCGUGGCUUCCGGAGCUAACGCGUUAAAUCGACCGCCUGGGGAGUACGGCCGCAAGGUUAAAACUCAAAUGAAUUGACGGGGGCCCGCACAAGCGGUGGAGCAUGUGGUUUAAUUCGAUGCAACGCGAAGAACCUUACCUGGUCUUGACAUCCACAGAACUUAGCAGAGAUGCUUUGGUGCCUUCGGGAACUGUGAGACAGGUGCUGCAUGGCUGUCGUCAGCUCGUGUUGUGAAAUGUUGGGUUAAGUCCCGCAACGAGCGCAACCCUUAUCCUUUGUUGCCAGCGGUUAGGCCGGGAACUCAAAGGAGACUGCCAGUGAUAAACUGGAGGAAGGUGGGGAUGACGUCAAGUCAUCAUGGCCCUUACGACCAGGGCUACACACGUGCUACAAUGGCAUAUACAAAGAGAAGCGACCUCGCGAGAGCAAGCGGACCUCAUGAAGUAUGUCGUAGUCCGGAUUGGAGUCUGCAACUCGACUCCAUGAAGUCGGAAUCGCUAGUAAUCGUAGAUCAGAAUGCUGCGGUGAAUACGUUCCCGGGCCUUGUACACACCGCCCGUCACACCAUGGGAGUGGGUUGCAAAAGAAGUAGGUAGCUUAACCUUCGGGAGGGCGCUUACCACUUUGUGAUUCAUGACUGGGGUG
RNAcentral lists this ribosomal RNA (1462 nucleotides) under Klebsiella quasipneumoniae. Its description in RNAcentral is "bacterial SSU rRNA". It matches the Rfam family "Bacterial small subunit ribosomal RNA". The record is from RNAcentral. Lineage: Bacteria; Pseudomonadati; Pseudomonadota; Gammaproteobacteria; Enterobacterales; Enterobacteriaceae.